This 434-nucleotide ribosomal RNA is filed under the name uncultured bacterium. RNAcentral describes it as "partial 16S ribosomal RNA". It matches the Rfam family "Bacterial small subunit ribosomal RNA", at positions 29 to 507 of the family's 1533-position model. The record is from RNAcentral.
AUGAACGCUGGCGGUAUGCUUCACCCCUGCAAGUCGCACGGACUCUUCGGAGUUAGUGGCGGACGGGUGAGUAACGCGUGAGAAUCUGGCUUUGGGUUCGGGACAACCACUGGAAACGGUGGCUAAUACCGGAUGUGCCGAGAGGUAAAAGAGAAAUUGCCUGAAGAUGAGCUCGCGUCUGAUUAGCUAGUUGGUGAGGUAAAGGCUCACCAAGGCAGCGAUCAGUAGCUGGUCUGAGAGGAUGACCAGCCACACUGGGACUGAGACACAGCCCAGACUCCUACGGGAGGCAGCAGUGGGGAAUUUUCCGCAAUGGGCGAAAGCCUGACGGAGCAAUACCGCGUGAGGGAAGAAGGCUCUUGGGUUGUAAACCUCUUUUCUUAGGGAAGAACAAAAUGACGGUACCUAAGGAAUCAGCAUCGGCUAACUCCGUG